GUGAGGAAUAUUGGUCAAUGGGCGGGAGCCUGAACCAGCCAAGUCGCGUGAAGGAAGAAGGAUCUAUGGUUCGUAAACUUCUUUUGCAGGGGAAUAAAGUGCAGGACGUGUCCUGUUUUGUAUGUACCCUGAGAAUAAGGAUCGGCUAACUCCGUGCCAGCAGCCGCGGUAAUACGGAGGAUCCGAGCGUUAUCCGGAUUUAUUGGGUUUAAAGGGUGCGUAGGUGGUUUGAUAAGUCAGCGGUGAAAGUUAGCAGCUUAACUGUAAAAAUGCCGUUGAAACUGUCGGACUUGACUGUAAAUGAGGUAGGCGGAAUGCGUGGUGUAGCGGUGAAAUGCAUAGAUAUCACGCAGAACUCCGAUUGCGAAGGCAGCUUACUAAGCUACAACUGACACUGAAGCACGAAAGCGUGGGGAUCAAACAGGAUUAGAAACCCGGGUAGUCC
RNAcentral lists this ribosomal RNA (445 nucleotides) under uncultured bacterium. RNAcentral describes it as "partial 16S ribosomal RNA". It matches the Rfam family "Bacterial small subunit ribosomal RNA", at positions 354 to 796 of the family's 1533-position model. The record is from RNAcentral.